This 337-nucleotide ribosomal RNA is filed under the name uncultured bacterium. RNAcentral describes it as "bacterial SSU rRNA". It matches the Rfam family "Bacterial small subunit ribosomal RNA", at positions 1 to 334 of the family's 1533-position model. The record is from RNAcentral.
GUACGCUAUUCAGAGUUUGAUCCUGGCUCAGGACGAACGCUGGCGGCGUGCUUAACACAUGCAAGUCGAACGGAGUUAAUUCUUCGGAGUUAACUUAGUGGCGAACGGGUGAGUAACGCGUGAGGAACCUGCCUUUCAGUGGGGGACAACAGUUGGAAACGACUGCUAAUACCGCAUGAUACUCAGAAGGGACAUCCCUUUUGAGUCAAAGCUUUAUGUGCUGAAAGAUGGCCUCGCGUCUGAUUAGCUAGUUGGUGGGGUAACGGCCCACCAAGGCGACGAUCAGUAGCCGGACUGAGAGGUUGACCGGCCACAUUGGGACUGAGAUACGGCCCAG